GCCGAGGCCGAGGUGGAGAUCCACAACACUUGAUGAUCAUGAUUUUCUUAAUUCAUUUGAACAAGUGCAAAACAUUUCAUUUGAACAUUUUAACACGGUUCAAAAUUUCAUGUAACUUAAAGGGGCAAUGGAUCGAAUCACCAUGGAACGAAUCACCACUACUGAAGACCACAAUCUAUAAUUUGUAACUUAACUGGAUUAGGAAGCAUAU
RNAcentral lists this long non-coding RNA (211 nucleotides) under Elaeis guineensis (African oil palm). Its description in RNAcentral is "long non-coding RNA (EGUI_LNC002543)". The record is from RNAcentral. Lineage: Eukaryota; Viridiplantae; Streptophyta; Magnoliopsida; Arecales; Arecaceae.